UUAUGACGUACUUGUACUGAUUGAGAUUUUAACACGAAGUGAGUGGCGAACGGGUGAGUAACACGUGGGUAACCUGCCCAGAAGUAGGGGAUAACACCUGGAAACAGAUGCUAAUACCGUAUAACAGAGAAAACCGCAUGGUUUUCUUUUAAAAGAUGGCUCUGCUAUCACUUCUGGAUGGACCCGCGGCGUAUUAGCUAGUUGGUGAGGUAAAGGCUCACCAAGGCAGUGAUACGUAGCCGACCUGAGAGGGUAAUCGGCCACAUUGGGACUGAGACACGGCCCAGACUCCUACGGGAGGCAGCAGUAGGGAAUCUUCCACAAUGGACGCAAGUCUGAUGGAGCAACGCCGCGUGAGUGAAGAAGGGUUUCGGCUCGUAAAGCUCUGUUGUUAAAGAAGAACGUGGGUAAGAGUAACUGUUUACCCAGUGACGGUAUUUAACCAGAAAGCCACGGCUAACUACGUGCCAGCAGCCGCGGUAAUACGUAGGUGGCAAGCGUUAUCCGGAUUUAUUGGGCGUAAAGCGAGCGCAGGCGGUCUUUUAAGUCUAAUGUGAAAGCCUUCGGCUCAACCGAAGAAGUGCAUUGGAAACUGGGAGACUUGAGUGCAGAAGAGGACAGUGGAACUCCAUGUGUAGCGGUGAAAUGCGUAGAUAUAUGGAAGAACACCAGUGGCGAAGGCGGCUGUCUGGUCUGCAACUGACGCUGAGGCUCGAAAGCAUGGGUAGCGAACAGGAUUAGAUACCCUGGUAGUCCAUGCCGUAAACGAUGAUUACUAAGUGUUGGAGGGUUUCCGCCCUUCAGUGCUGCAGCUAACGCAUUAAGUAAUCCGCCUGGGGAGUACGACCGCAAGGUUGAAACUCAAAAGAAUUGACGGGGGCCCGCACAAGCGGUGGAGCAUGUGGUUUAAUUCGAAGCUACGCGAAGAACCUUACCAGGUCUUGACAUCUUCUGACAGUCUAAGAGAUUAGAGGUUCCCUUCGGGGACAGAAUGACAGGUGGUGCAUGGUUGUCGUCAGCUCGUGUCGUGAGAUGUUGGGUUAAGUCCCGCAACGAGCGCAACCCUUAUUACUAGUUGCCAGCAUUAAGUUGGGCACUCUAGUGAGACUGCCGGUGACAAACCGGAGGAAGGUGGGGACGACGUCAAAUCAUCAUGCCCCUUAUGACCUGGGCUACACACGUGCUACAAUGGAUGGUACAACGAGUCGCGAGACCGCGAGGUUAAGCUAAUCUCUUAAAACCAUUCUCAGUUCGGACUGUAGGCUGCAACUCGCCUACACGAAGUCGGAAUCGCUAGUAAUCGCGGAUCAGCAUGCCGCGGUGAAUACGUUCCCGGGCCUUGUACACACCGCCCGUCACACCAUGAGAGUUUGUAACACCCAAAGCCGGUGGGGUAACCUUUUAGGAGCUAGCCGUC
Molecule: ribosomal RNA, 1417 nt
Filed under: Pediococcus pentosaceus
Lineage: Bacteria; Bacillati; Bacillota; Bacilli; Lactobacillales; Lactobacillaceae
Description: bacterial SSU rRNA
Rfam family: Bacterial small subunit ribosomal RNA
Source: RNAcentral